GGAGGGUGCAAGCGUUAUCCGGAUUCACUGGGUUUAAAGGGUGCGUAGGUGGACUGGUAAGUCAGGGGUGAAAUCUCCGAGCUCAACUCGGAAACUGCCUUUGAUACUAUUAGUCUUGAAUAUUGUGGAGGUCAGCGGAAUAUGUCAUGUAGCGGUGAAAUGCUUAGAUAUGACAUAGAACACCAAUUGCGAAGGCAGCUGGCUACGCAUAUAUUGACACUGAGGCACGAAAGCGUGGGGAUCAAACAGGAUUAGAUACCCUGGUAGUCCACGCCCUAAACUAUGGAUACUCGACAUACGCGAUACACUGUGUGUGUCUGAGCGAAAGCAUUAAGUAUCCCACCUGGGAAGUACGAUCGCAAGAUUGAA
Molecule: ribosomal RNA, 369 nt
Filed under: uncultured bacterium
Lineage: Bacteria
Description: bacterial SSU rRNA
Rfam family: Bacterial small subunit ribosomal RNA
Source: RNAcentral